UCCUUGAGUAAAUUUUUACGGACUAAGGUGGAACAUCUCCUCAUCUAGUAUGAUGCUUGCAUAUAAGUUAUUCCAAGCCUCACCUGUACUUGUGAACCUUGAAGUGUCUACCUUGACAUCUAGGGUGGUUGAGGAAUGGAAUGGAUUAGAAACGAGUCACCUUUACUUCUCCUGCUCAGAUAACUUGGGUUUUUCAAAGAUUUUUAAAUCAAAACAUAGCCUUGCUCCUUGAAUGAUUCUCUCAGAUCGCUCAAUGUGUAUGGUUUCUUACCAAGGCAUUCGGUAGGGGAUGAAAAGGAGGCAUAUUUGUAUUACUUAUAUUGCAAGGUCAAAAACUGGAUCCAAGGAGAAGCAAAUCAUACAAUCUAAUCAAGAUGUGCAUGUGUGUGAAUAUGAGGAUGGUGGAUGGAAGAUGUAUGAAAACUCCUUUUUAUAUGAUCCCUCUCCCUUUUGAAAUAUCUUGAGAACAUGGCUAUCUCUUUUUUUUCGUGCCCUUUGACCUUCAUGUGUCCAACUCUUUUUUUCUCUUAUACUUGGACUUUCAUGUGUUCAUAUUUUUUUUCUUUUCUAUAGUGGUACCUUCAUGUGUUCAUAUUUUUUUUGAUAGCCCAUGUGUAUUUUGUAACGAUAACUGGAGGGAGAGAUCAACAUUUAUAGUAGAGCAUUUAUUUUGUGCAAUGGAUACAGGGAUGGGUGAAAUGUUGCCAACUCCUAGUGUAGGAGUUUAGCAAAUAUAAAGUGGAGUGUACGUGAUCUCGAUCAUGAAAGUAUGAAAAGUUUCUCACUUGGCUCACAACAGCUUGACAAAGCUCAAUGCAAAACAGGUAGCAUAUGUAUAAGGUUUUCAAUGAGAUCAACAUAUGACUUUGGUAGGAAUAUAAGUGAGGAAUAAAGAGUAUGCAAGCUAACCAUAGGAAAGGCAUGUUCAACAUAAGGAGAUAGCAAGGUUCAUUGAGUUUAAUUUUACACAACAAGAUAAAAUUUGUUUAAACUGAAGAACUUAGGGAGUUUGAGAGUUGUGUUGGACAAACCAUCAUUGAAGAUGAAGAGGAAGACAAGGGGAGUCAGAGAUGACUCGGUCGAACCAUCUUGACUCCAUCUGUCUUAUUCUUUUGCUCACUGGACCAUCAAGUGUUUGUUGAACAUGUUGAUGGGUGAUCUCGAAUAAGUGUGAGUUUGGUAACUUGAGAGAUCUCCCCCACACUUACUCUUGUACAUGUUUUUAUUCAACAAAAGAAUAAAGAUGGAAACAAGCAAGGACUCUACCAGUUUUAAAC
RNAcentral lists this long non-coding RNA (1277 nucleotides) under Setaria viridis. RNAcentral describes it as "long non-coding RNA (SVIR_LNC010639)". The record is from RNAcentral. Lineage: Eukaryota; Viridiplantae; Streptophyta; Magnoliopsida; Poales; Poaceae.